RNAcentral lists this transfer RNA (71 nucleotides) under Agelas nakamurai. Its description in RNAcentral is "tRNA-Met". It matches the Rfam family "tRNA". From Rfam's summary of the family: Transfer RNA (tRNA) molecules are approximately 80 nucleotides in length. Their secondary structure includes four short double-helical elements and three loops (D, anti-codon, and T loops). Further hydrogen bonds mediate the characteristic L-shaped molecular structure. tRNAs have two regions of fundamental functional importance: the anti-codon, which is responsible for specific mRNA codon recognition, and the 3' end, to which the tRNAs corresponding amino acid is attached (by aminoacyl-tRNA synthetases). tRNAs cope with the degeneracy of the genetic code in two manners: having more than one tRNA (with a specific anti-codon) for a particular amino acid; and 'wobble' base-pairing, i.e. permitting non-standard base-pairing at the 3rd anti-codon position. The record is from RNAcentral. RNAcentral also lists the same sequence under 1 other name. Lineage: Eukaryota; Metazoa; Porifera; Demospongiae; Agelasida; Agelasidae.
GGUAAAGUCAACUAAAGGUUAGUUCCCAGACUCAUUAUCUGGCAAUGUCGGUUCGAGUCCUACCUUUGCCU